This 259-nucleotide unclassified non-coding RNA is filed under the name Hevea brasiliensis (rubber tree). The record is from RNAcentral. Lineage: Eukaryota; Viridiplantae; Streptophyta; Magnoliopsida; Malpighiales; Euphorbiaceae.
UUAUCAUUAAAGAUCAGGUCAUUUUGCGCAUUAAUUAGCCUCCAUGCCCGGAACAGCCAGUCCGAGAAGAAAGCUUUCAACAAGAAGAGCUUUCAGAUUUUCCUUGAAUAUGUUGUCCCUUGAAUAUGUUGACAAAAUUCAUCUAUUCAGCUCUCAAAUUCAGAGCCAUAAGUAGUCAAAGAACAUAUAUGGUCCCUUGAAUAUGUUGGAGGUUAUAAAGUUGGGAGAGAAAGGUAGUUCCUUGAUCUUGAAUGGUAGA